UUGAUGAUCGGUGCUUGCACCGAGAUUCAACAUGGAACGAGUGGCGGACGGGUGAGUAACACGUGGGUAACCUGCCCUUAAGUGGGGGAUAACAUUUGGAAACAGAUGCUAAUACCGCAUAGAUCCAAGAACCGCAUGGUUCUUGGCUGAAAGAUGGCGUAAGCUAUCGCUUUUGGAUGGACCCGCGGCGUAUUAGCUAGUUGGUGAGGUAAUGGCUCACCAAGGCGAUGAUACGUAGCCGAACUGAGAGGUUGAUCGGCCACAUUGGGACUGAGACACGGCCCAAUACUCCUACGGGAGGCAGCAGUAGGGAAUCUUCCACAAUGGACGCAAGUCUGAUGGAGCAACGCCGCGUGAGUGAAGAAGGCUUUCGGGUCGUAAAACUCUGUUGUUGGAGAAGAAUGGUCGGCAGAGUAACUGUUGUCGGCGUGACGGUAUCCAACCAGAAAGCCACGGCUAACUACGUGCCAGCAGCCGCGGUAAUACGUAGGUGGCAAGCGUUAUCCGGAUUUAUUGGGCGUAAAGCGAGCGCAGGCGGUUUUUUAAGUCUGAUGUGAAAGCCCUCGGCUUAACCGAGGAAGCGCAUCGGAAACUGGGAAACUUGAGUGCAGAAGAGGACAGUGGAACUCCAUGUGUAGCGGUGAAAUGCGUAGAUAUAUGGAAGAACACCAGUGGCGAAGGCGGCUGUCUGGUCUGUAACUGACGCUGA
This 709-nucleotide ribosomal RNA is filed under the name Lactobacillus casei group sp. Its description in RNAcentral is "bacterial SSU rRNA". It matches the Rfam family "Bacterial small subunit ribosomal RNA", at positions 67 to 749 of the family's 1533-position model. Lineage: Bacteria; Bacillati; Bacillota; Bacilli; Lactobacillales; Lactobacillaceae. The record is from RNAcentral.